Molecule: ribosomal RNA, 253 nt
Filed under: uncultured bacterium
Lineage: Bacteria
Description: partial 16S ribosomal RNA
Rfam family: Bacterial small subunit ribosomal RNA
Source: RNAcentral
UACGAAGGGUGCAAGCGUUACUCGGAAUUACUGGGCGUAAAGCGUGCGUAGGUGGUUUGUUAAGUCUGAUGUGAAAGCCCUGGGCUUAACCUGGGAACUGCAUUUGGGACUGUAAGGCUAGAGUGUGUCAGAGGGAGGUGGAAUUCCACGUGUAGCAGUGAAAUGCGUAGAUAUGUGGAGGAACAUCGAUGGCGAAGGCAGCCUCCUGGGAUAACACUGACGCUCAUGCACGAAAGCGUGGGGAGCAAACAGG